GCCAGGCCGACUGAGGUCGAUGCGUCAUCGGCCGGCGUUCGCGCCGGUCCGCAACACCGCCGUCCAGGAGCGCCUCCCUGGUCGGCGCGCCGUGUCCCUUGCUGCCGGGUCCUCGCGACCCGGCAGGUUUUUGCGACCGCGACGCCGGCACGGGCCAGCGUUGCACCCAUGGGAUGCUGUGACCGCUUUGUUAAAAUUUGGCUAAACGCGUGAUAUUCUCGUUGUCUGUUCAGUUCCCGUGCGAACAGACGUUUCCAGACUGUCUGCCAUGACCCAGCAACGCACUCUCAAGAACACGAUCCGCGCCACCGGCGUGGGCCUGCACAGCGGCGACAAGGUCU
Molecule: small RNA, 341 nt
Filed under: Xanthomonas sp. 3307
Lineage: Bacteria; Pseudomonadati; Pseudomonadota; Gammaproteobacteria; Lysobacterales; Lysobacteraceae
Description: sRNA Xoo8
Rfam family: Proteobacterial sRNA Xoo8
Source: RNAcentral